UACGAAGGGGGCUAGCGUUGCUCGGAAUGACUGGGCGUAAAGGGCGCGUAGGCGGUUCGUACAGUCAGACGUGAAAUUCCCGGGCUCAACCUGGGGACUGCGUUUGAUACGUGCGGGCUUGAGUCCGGAAGAGGCAAGUGGAAUUCCCGGUGUAGCGGUGAAAUGCGCAGAUAUCGGGAGGAACACCAAUGGCGAAGGCAGCUUGCUGGGACGGUACUGACGCUGAGACGCGAAAGCGUGGGGAGCAAACAGG
Molecule: ribosomal RNA, 253 nt
Filed under: uncultured bacterium
Lineage: Bacteria
Description: partial 16S ribosomal RNA
Rfam family: Bacterial small subunit ribosomal RNA
Source: RNAcentral